Molecule: long non-coding RNA, 294 nt
Filed under: Lathyrus oleraceus (garden pea)
Lineage: Eukaryota; Viridiplantae; Streptophyta; Magnoliopsida; Fabales; Fabaceae
Description: Pisum sativum (pea) long non-coding RNA (PSAT_LNC021139)
Source: RNAcentral
UCCUUUUAUUUCUUUGAUCUAGUAUCCAAAUUAGAGACUGUUUUAUUAUUAUUAUUACUUAAAUAAAAUUAUUGUUUAGGAAUUUUUAAUAAAUAUUUUUUAAAUAAUAUAUAAUAAAAAUUAUUAAUAAAAAGGAAAAGAAAAAUGAGAUUAGAAUACUUCACAUUAUCUCUCUCCCUCACGUUUGCUCUUAACCACAUCCACACUCUACCUCACCUUUCCACGUUACCCCUCUCUCUCUGUACAUUAAAAAGAAAAACAAAAAGAACAAGGCACACACAGAUUCACACGUCC